GACGAACGCUGGCGGCGUGCUUAACACAUGCAAGUCGAACGGAAAGGCCCGGCUUUUGCGGGGUUCUCGAGUGGCGAACGGGUGAGAAACACGUGAGUAACCUGCCCCUGACUGUGUGAUAACUUCAGGAAACUGGGGCUAAUACCGGAUAGGAGCUCCUGCACCAUGGGGGGGGUUGGAAAGAUUCGGCGGUUGGGGAUGGACUCGCUGGUUAUGAGCUUGUUGGUCGGGUAGGUGCUUACCAAGGCUUCGACGGAUAGCCCGCCUGAGAGGGUGACCGGCGACAUGGGGACUGAGAGACGGCGCAGAAUCGUACCGGAGGCAGCAGUGGGGAAUCUUGCACAAUGGGCGGAAGCCUGAUGCAGCAACGCCGCGUGCGGGAUGACGGCCUUCGGGUGGUAAACCGCUUUCGCCUGUGACGAAGCGUGAGUGACGGUAAUGGGUAAAGAAGCACCGGCUAACUACGUG
RNAcentral lists this ribosomal RNA (468 nucleotides) under uncultured bacterium. RNAcentral's name for it is "partial 16S ribosomal RNA". It matches the Rfam family "Bacterial small subunit ribosomal RNA", at positions 28 to 507 of the family's 1533-position model. The record is from RNAcentral.